UCUGAUAUCUCUAAUAGGUAA
Molecule: non-coding RNA, 21 nt
Filed under: Caenorhabditis elegans
Lineage: Eukaryota; Metazoa; Nematoda; Chromadorea; Rhabditida; Rhabditidae
Source: RNAcentral